This 478-nucleotide ribosomal RNA is filed under the name uncultured Pseudomonadota bacterium. RNAcentral describes it as "bacterial SSU rRNA". It matches the Rfam family "Bacterial small subunit ribosomal RNA", at positions 8 to 522 of the family's 1533-position model. The record is from RNAcentral. Lineage: Bacteria; Pseudomonadati; Pseudomonadota.
AGAGUUUGAUCAUGGCUCAGAACGAACGCUGGCGGCAGGCCUAACACAUGCAAGUCGAACGAGAAGCCACCUUCGGGUGGUGGACAGUGGCAGACGGGUGAGUAACGCGUGGGAACGUGCCUUUCGGUUCGGGAUAACCCAGGGAAACUUGGGCUAAUACCGGAUACGCCCUUCGGGGGAAAGAUUCAUUGCCGAAAGAUCGGCCCGCAUCGGAUUAGCUAGUUGGUGGGGUAAUGGCCUACCAAGGCGACGAUCCGUAGCUGGUCUGAGAGGAUGACCAGCCACACUGGGACUGAGACACGGCCCAGACUCCUACGGGAGGCAGCAGUGGGGAAUAUUGGACAAUGGGCGCAAGCCUGAUCCAGCCAUGCCGCGUGGGUGAAGAAGGCCUUAGGGUUGUAAACCCCUUUCAGCGGGGAAGAUAAUGACGGUACCCGCAGAAGAAGUCCCGGCUAACUCCGUGCCAGCAGCCGCGGUA